Molecule: long non-coding RNA, 2316 nt
Filed under: Triticum aestivum (bread wheat)
Lineage: Eukaryota; Viridiplantae; Streptophyta; Magnoliopsida; Poales; Poaceae
Description: long non-coding RNA (TAES_LNC002747)
Source: RNAcentral
UUAAGCAAGAUGACAUUAUGUAGAUAGAAUAAACCAAGCAAUAUGAUUAAACCCCGUCAUUUUCUCCUUAGUAGCAACAAUACAAUACGUGUCUCGCUACCCUUGCUUUCACUGGGUGAGGACACCGCAAGAUUGAACCUACUAUGAUCCACCACUUCCAUUGAAGAUCAUCUAAUCAACUUGGCCAAAGAAAACCCAUAGAUUGGAAAUCAUUACAUAGUAUAAAAAUCACACAUAAUAAAGUUCAGAAAAUACUCAAUUACUUUCAAUGAAUAUUCAAAUCAUAAACCCACAAUUCAUCAUAUCCCAACAAACGUACCACAAAAAAAUAUUACACCGGUUUGAUCUCCGAAGAGAGCAUUGUAUUGAAGAUCAAAAAGAGAGAGAAAGCCAUCUAGCUAUUAUUGACUCGUAGGUGUGUGGUGGACUACUCACACAUCAUCAGAGGUGCAGCAAGGUUGAUGUAGAAGCCCUCCAGCUGAGUACCCAGAAGGCAUCUAGACGGGAUCGCGGAAGAAUAGAGACUUGCGGCGGCGAAAAAAUUGUUUCGGGCAGCUCUCUAUUUUUUUUAAAUAUGUGAGAAUUUAUAGCACUGGAAUUAGGCCAGAUGGAGCCAUAAGGGGACGACAAGGCAUGAGGGUGCGCCUACCUCCAGGGCGCGCCCUGUUGACUUGUGAUCUACUGGUAGGUCUUCUGGUCCUUCCCCGAAGCUUCUAGGGUCUCUUAUGUCCAGAAAAAAAAACAUCAAAAUUUUUCGUCGUGUUUGGUCUCUGUUGGUACAGAUUUUCUGUAAAACAAAAAAAUAGAAAAACAACAACUGCCACUAGGCACUGAGUUAAUAGGUUAGUCCCCACAAAUGAUGUAAAAUUGCAUAUAAAGUAUCUAAAAAUGAUGAUAUAAUAGUAUAAAACUGUUAAAAUUGUAGUCCGACGUAUCAGCACGUCAACGUGUUGGUUGGUCAUGCGGGCCAGGGACCAGACGCCAGGGUCCUGGCGUCUUCCGUGCAAGCUGGCACGCCAGGGAUGUUGGCGGGACCAAAAAAGUAAGAUUCAUUUUUUUAACGAGGUCAAUUCUGUAUUUUUUUAGAAGAAAAGGGCUCUUACCCCAGUUUCAUUUUUUUUCUCUAAUACGCACAAGCAUGCGUAUCAUAUAUUCAUAGAAGAAGUAGCCAAGAUGGCCAAUACAACGCCUUUCGGCAAAGUGUUACACCAAAAGGUUAACACCUACAUCCACCAAGGCAACACCGACACACAACUCACCUUGCCCAAACUCAAGCCGAACAAUGGCAAAGAGGACGGACACAGAGCACAUAGGCCGCGUCCCAACCGAACCGAACACCUCAGAGCUGGACAAAAACAUCAAAGCAAACUAGAUCAACGCACUCUCCACCCAUGGCGCCUAGGAGAUCGGCAAGUGGACAGCAGGAGCUAGCCUAGCUCGAUGAAUACCUCGCAGAUGAGCCGUUGAGGAUGGAGUACAUAGCGCCCCGGAUGCUCAUGUCCGUAGCAAGAACCAACACAUGACAACCCUGCACCCCAAGUCUCGCCGCCGAUGCAAACUGAGACACCCACACUAGUUACUCCUUCGAAAGACACCUGAUCACCUAGGCAACGCCUUCAAGAAGGGGACGACGUCGUGACGUCGCCACUGCCUGGCCCGGCGAACCGAGCAUAGGGUUUCCCCCGAUGAGAGCAGGGGAUGUACAAGGCCAUGGCAAUGCCUCCAAGGAGGAGACGGCGCCCACAGGCGUCGCCGUUGCCCGCAGCCACAGCAGCGCACGGAUUUCUCCUCGGCCUUGUCAUAACGUCUUCGGAGCGCAGUAAACUGAGAAGGGGGGCAAAGUCGUCACCUUUGGCCAUCACCAUGGAAAGGGGAAGUCGUAUGCCGCUGCGCCGCCACCCACACCGUCGGAACAAGCGCGUCCACCACCAUCGUGCCGGUCGGCAACCACCACACGCCGGCCAGAACUCGCACCACCGUGCCGCCUCAUCGCACGAUUUUCUGGGGCCGUCGCCCUGGCUUCCACCGAGAGGAUCCGCCACCCGGAGCCACAACCCCACCAUGGAGCUAGCCGACCCCGAGCUAGGCAGAGCCCCAGCCAGAUGACGCCACCACCGAUGGGAGCGCCCGCUCCAGCGCACCACGCCACCACAGCACGACGCCCCACCACCAUCCUCCAGGGCCGCCGGAUGAACCCCUGACGCCACCAACCCCCACCACCACCGACCGGAUCUGGGCAAGAGACCCUAGAUCCUCCGCCACCAUGCCUCAGCCCGUGCCCAGGCGAGAUGCAGGGCAACCAGAGCAAGGCCGCAC